Molecule: ribosomal RNA, 253 nt
Filed under: uncultured bacterium
Lineage: Bacteria
Description: partial 16S ribosomal RNA
Rfam family: Bacterial small subunit ribosomal RNA
Source: RNAcentral
UACGUAGGGUGCGAGCGUUGUCCGGAAUUAUUGGGCGUAAAGGGCUCGUAGGCGGUCUGUCGCGUCGGGAGUGAAAACUCAGGGCUUAACCCUGAGCCUGCUUCCGAUACGGGCAGACUAGAGGUAUGCAGGGGAGAACGGAAUUCCUGGUGUAGCGGUGGAAUGCGCAGAUACCAGGAGGAACACCAGUAGCGAAGGCGGCACUCUGGGCCGGUACUGACGCUGAGGAGCGAAAGCGUGGGGAGCGAACAGG